This 58-nucleotide microRNA precursor is filed under the name Notamacropus eugenii (tammar wallaby). Its description in RNAcentral is "miRNA (ENSMEUG00000017160.1)". The record is from RNAcentral. Lineage: Eukaryota; Metazoa; Chordata; Mammalia; Diprotodontia; Macropodidae.
UGCAUGUAUGUGUGUAUGUGUAUAUGUGUGUGUGUGUAUAUAUGUAUAUAUGUAUGUA